Molecule: ribosomal RNA, 477 nt
Filed under: uncultured bacterium
Lineage: Bacteria
Description: partial 16S ribosomal RNA
Rfam family: Bacterial small subunit ribosomal RNA
Source: RNAcentral
GACGAACGCUGGCGGCGUGCUUAACACAUGCAAGUCGAACGGUAAGGCCCUUCGGGGUACACGAGUGGCGAACGGGUGAGUAACACGUGGGUGAUCUGCCCUGCACUUCGGGAUAAGCCUGGGAAACUGGGUCUAAUACCGGAUAGGACCACUGCCUGCAUGGUGGUGGUGGAAAGCUUUUGCGGUGUGGGAUGGGCCCGCGGCCUAUCAGCUUGUAGGUGGGGUGAUGGCCUACCAAGGCGACGACGGGUAGCCGGCCUGAGAGGGUGACCGGGCACACUGGGACUGAGAUACGGCCCAGACUCCUACGGGAGGCAGCAGUGGGGAAUAGUGCACAAUGGGCGCAAGCCUGAUGCAGCGACGCCGCGUGAGGGAUGACGGCCUUCGGGUUGUAAACCUCUUUCAGCACCGACGAAGCGCAAGUGACGGUAGGUGCAGAAGAAGGACCGGCCAACUACGUGCCAGCCGCCGCGGUAA